AGUGAACGCUGGCGGUAGGCCUAACACAUGCAAGUCGAACGGCAGCACAGUAAGAGCUUGCUCUUACGGGUGGCGAGUGGCGGACGGGUGAGGAAUACAUCGGAAUCUACUUUUUCGUGGGGGAUAACGUAGGGAAACUUACGCUAAUACCGCAUACGACCUACGGGUGAAAGCAGGGGAUCUUCGGACCUUGCGCGAUUGAAUGAGCCGAUGUCGGAUUAGCUAGUUGGCGGGGUAAAGGCCCACCAAGGCGACGAUCCGUAGCUGGUCUGAGAGGAUGAUCAGCCACACUGGAACUGAGACACGGUCCAGACUCCUACGGGAGGCAGCAGUGGGGAAUAUUGGACAAUGGGCGCAAGCCUGAUCCAGCCAUACCGCGGGGGUGAAGAAGGCCUUCGGGUUGUAAAGCCCUUUUGUUGGGAAAGAAAAGCAGCAGGUUAAGACCCCGCUGUUCUGACGGUACCCAAAGAAUAAGCACCGGCUAACUUCGU
RNAcentral lists this ribosomal RNA (491 nucleotides) under uncultured bacterium. RNAcentral describes it as "partial 16S ribosomal RNA". It matches the Rfam family "Bacterial small subunit ribosomal RNA", at positions 29 to 506 of the family's 1533-position model. The record is from RNAcentral.